RNAcentral lists this ribosomal RNA (447 nucleotides) under uncultured bacterium. RNAcentral's name for it is "partial 16S ribosomal RNA". It matches the Rfam family "Bacterial small subunit ribosomal RNA", at positions 29 to 507 of the family's 1533-position model. The record is from RNAcentral.
AACGAACGCUGUCGGUAUGCUUAACACAUGCAAGUCGGACGGACUAAUUAGGGCUUGCUCCCUUUAGUUAGUGGCAGACGGGUGAGUAUCACGUGUGGAUCUGCCCAUCAUUACGGAGUGACUUUUAGAAAUAACAGCUACUACCGUAUAUUCUCUACUUGGAACAGAUUUAUCGCUGAUGAAUGAGGCCGCGUCAGAUUCGUUAGUUGGUGAGGUAACGGCUCACCAAGCCGGCGAUCUGUAGCUGGUAUGAGAGGAUGAGCAGACACACUGGGACUGAGACACGGCACAGACUCCUACGGGAGGGAGGAGUGGGGAAUAGUGGAAAAUGGGCGAAAGCAUGAUCCAGCAAUAACGGGUGAGUGAUAAAGGCACGAGGGUUGUAAAGCUCUUGUAGCAAGGAAGAUAAUGACGGUACUUGCAGAAAAAGCCCCGGCUAACUACGUG